AUAUGGUGGCCUUCAGCAAGUAAUCUUUCUCUAACGGGCAUCCUAUGCCCGCGCCACCGAGAGCCUGAUCCUACUUGCUGCGUGCUCACGACGACCACAAGCAUCGCUGCUGCUGGUUCGUGCUACAUAAACAAACAGAGUUAAAGAACAUAGAUGAGAGGAAUUCAGUUCAGGAAGAUUAAAGGGUUAACCUCCUGGGAUACAAGAAGUUUCAGUUCAUCGAGAGGCUUCCUGGAGCUUCAAAACAUUUCACUACUCCUUUUUAGGCUUUUUAGUACAUCUUACAAAGUGUGUUUCCUUUCAUCAUUUUUGUCUACUUAAAAGAAGUGUAGAAGCUUGAGGAAAUACCCCCAAAAUCAUGUGUGCCCUCAGCACUCUUCUACGUGCUUGUUCUAAUGCUUAUGAGAAUUAUUCUUCAAGGUCAUAAUUUGGAACUAGAUAACUUUUCAUAGAUGAUUGUACUGAAGCUGGGUGUUUAACAGAAUUAUUUCUCAUAAGUUCGCAAAUCACCUAUUGGUUUGGGUUACAUCU
This is a long non-coding RNA of Triticum dicoccoides, 531 nucleotides long. RefSeq lists it as uncharacterized. The record is from RefSeq and is a predicted model, not a curated record. The transcript is spliced from 3 exons. NCBI's taxonomy places the organism in Eukaryota, Viridiplantae, Streptophyta, Magnoliopsida, Poales, Poaceae.